GCGGAAUGUUCUUUGCGUAUUUUGCAGUCAGAUGUUUUUAAAAAGUGAGCUCUGUACUCUGCGAGCCAGAAGUCUUACGCAAAACGGACACGUAGGAAAAAACAACGAUACGUUUUGGAAUUUACUGAAAGCCAUUUUUGUUGCCUGGGGAAUUCUAAAGGACUAUAUGCUAUACUAUACUAGUAUGGUUACAGUAUGUAAGACACCACCCUAAUGUAUUCAUAGGCAUGGGACUUUAUGAGAGUUUGAAAAGUUAGUUUUUUUUCAAAAUGCAGAAUUGAGGUAUUUGAUGAUAUUGCAUUGGUGGCUACUAGAAACAAUAUAAGGCAAAUAUUUGAAAUUAUGAGCCCAGUAAUGUGACAUUUCAUAUAUUAGUCAUACAUGAAUUAUUGUGUUGAAUUCUACUUCUUCUUCCUCUGAUUAUUAU
Molecule: long non-coding RNA, 427 nt
Organism: Ictalurus punctatus (channel catfish)
Lineage: Eukaryota; Metazoa; Chordata; Actinopteri; Siluriformes; Ictaluridae
Source: Ensembl